Molecule: long non-coding RNA, 350 nt
Filed under: Cavia porcellus (domestic guinea pig)
Lineage: Eukaryota; Metazoa; Chordata; Mammalia; Rodentia; Caviidae
Description: lncRNA (ENSCPOG00000033159.1)
Source: RNAcentral
GUGUUUUCAACAACAGAGAUAAAAAUCAAAAUGAGAAAAACUAACAAUCUGAUCUUUUAGCAGUGACACUUGGAACUACAAAAUCAGGUAAACUGAGACAAGAUGGAGCUGCCUGAGCACUUGCUGAACCAUGCUUCAAGUGCAACAAAAAGGAUGCUGGGCAAGAGAAUGUCCCUUCUGCAAUCUCAAGAGCCACUGGAAGAGUGACUGUCCUAGACGCCAGAGAGUGGGAAGGGAAGACGUGCGCCAUUUGGUCUCCAGGAUGACUCGUCACGCUGGCUUCCUGGCAUGUACCUGACUGUGCCUGUUGUCGAAGGAGCUUGGGGCCUCCGUGUCGCUGAGGAUGGCUG